This 134-nucleotide small nucleolar RNA is filed under the name Neotoma lepida (desert woodrat). RNAcentral's name for it is "Small nucleolar RNA SNORA70". It matches the Rfam family "Small nucleolar RNA SNORA70". From Rfam's summary of the family: snoRNA U70 seems to be exclusive to mammals and is a member of the H/ACA class of snoRNA which contain H (ANANNA) and ACA box motifs. H/ACA box snoRNAs are involved in the conversion of uridines to pseudouridines (5-ribosyluracil) a constituent of structural RNAs (transfer, ribosomal, small nuclear, and small nucleolar). Lineage: Eukaryota; Metazoa; Chordata; Mammalia; Rodentia; Cricetidae. The record is from Rfam by way of RNAcentral.
CUGUAGCCAAUUAGACCACCAGGCUCCUUGCCUCAGGGAGGCCUAGGAUGCAUUGGCUGCAGACAGCAGCCUUCUNGGUAGUGUGGGCAGUCUGUCGCCUACUUGAGUUACCCUAGGGGACAUUGGAGACAGUU